CCGCCGACCCACCUCCAUUGCCAGGUUCAGGUCAGGCAUAUCGUCGCCGGCAACGCGUGCGCGGCGGAGGCAACUGGCGGCUACUCGGCUGAAGCACAGGUGGCACAGAAGGCUAAUCAGCACAGGUGGCUACAGCUGGAUAACAAAGCUUCAAGAGAUGCACAAUUUGAUUUCAGAAGAGAUUGUGGUAGUUACAGUUUUCAGUAUAACAAGCACAUACUCCCUCCGUCCGGAAAUACUUGUCGGAGAAAUGAAUGUAUCUAGACACAUUCUAGUUUUAGAUAUAUCCAUUUUUAUCCAUUUCUCUGACAAGUAUUUUCGGACGGAGGGAGUACAUGAUAUGUGGAUGCUUGAUCCAUUUGAUCGCUCAUUAUGUAAAUGUUGCCAGCUGGUUCCAUAGCUGGGAAGAGCAUGCACCUGUCUUUGGUUCACCACCCGAAUUGCUGAUCUUGGGCUGAUCAUGUCUGUUCAAUUUUGACAUACCCACUCUGAUGCGCAUAUAUAUGUUUAUGCAAUGUAAUCUUGUCCUUGAAACCUUCCCAAGAAAAUCUUGUCCUUGAAGAGAAAA
Aegilops tauschii subsp. strangulata is the source of this 568-nucleotide long non-coding RNA. RefSeq lists it as uncharacterized. The record is from RefSeq and is a predicted model, not a curated record. Lineage: Eukaryota; Viridiplantae; Streptophyta; Magnoliopsida; Poales; Poaceae.